This 253-nucleotide ribosomal RNA is filed under the name uncultured bacterium. RNAcentral's name for it is "partial 16S ribosomal RNA". It matches the Rfam family "Bacterial small subunit ribosomal RNA", at positions 524 to 776 of the family's 1533-position model. The record is from RNAcentral.
UACGGAGGGGGCUAGCGUUGUUCGGAAUUACUGGGCGUAAAGCGCACGUAGGCGGCUUUGUAAGUUAGAGGUGAAAGCCCGGGGCUCAACCCCGGAAUUGCCUUUAAGACUGCAUCGCUAGAAUUGUGGAGAGGUAAGUGGAAUUCCGAGUGUAGAGGUGAAAUUCGUAGAUAUUCGCAAGAACACCAGUGGCGAAGGCGGCUCACUGGCCCGAUACUGACGCUGAGGUGCGAAAGCGUGGGGAGCAAACAGG